Molecule: ribosomal RNA, 250 nt
Filed under: uncultured prokaryote
Description: partial 16S rRNA
Rfam family: Bacterial small subunit ribosomal RNA
Source: RNAcentral
ACGUAGGUGGCAAGCGUUGUCCGGAAUUAUUGGGCGUAAAGCGCGCGCAGGUGGGAAAGUAAGUCUCAUUUAAAAGAUCGGGGCUCAACCCCGUUAAGGGUGAGAAACUGCUAUUCUUGAGUGCAGGAGAGGAAAGCGGAAUUCCCAGUGUAGCGGUGAAAUGCGUAGAUAUUGGGAGGAACACCAGUGGCGAAGGCGGCUUUCUGGACUGUGUCUGACACUGAGGCGCGAAAGCCAGGGGAGCGAACGG